This is a long non-coding RNA of Cyprinus carpio (common carp), 741 nucleotides long. The record is from Ensembl. Lineage: Eukaryota; Metazoa; Chordata; Actinopteri; Cypriniformes; Cyprinidae.
AUGAUGGAGCGGGUUAAAAUUGUUUUUACAUUCAUUUAUUUUCAGGCUGUACAAAGUGUCUGUCUCACAACUGACCUGUGGACAUCUGUUGCAAUGGAAUCAUAUAUUUCUGUGACAGCACAUUACAUUUCUGAUGAUUUCUCUCUGCAGUCCAAAUUACUGGAGGUCGAAAGAUCUGAAGGAAGACACACAGCUGAUGCCAUAGCUACACACCUCCGCAGUAUCCUUCUGGAGUGGGGUCUUCAGGACAAAGUUUUUUGUGUAACUGCAGACAACGGAGCAAAUGUGGUUGCAGCAGUAAAAAAAAAUGAACAUGAGACAUCCGCCAUGCUUUGCGCACACUCUCAAUCUUAUUGUAAAAGACAGUCUUGCUGCAGACACUGAACUUGAUGACUUGAGAUCCAAAGUGAGGAGAGUGGUAGGAUUUUUUAGAUCCAGCUGCACAGCAAAGAAGAAGCUAGACAACUUGCAAAAAGACUUGAAAAUGCCCCAACUGCGCCUUCUCCAGGAAGUUGAAACUAGGUGGAAUUCCACUUAUUUAAUGCUAGAGAGGUUUUUUAACCUCCGGGAACCCCUCUCUGCAGCAAUGAGCAACAUUGACCUACCCAUGUUUUUCCCCAGGACUGGACUGCAAUGGCUGAUGCAACUGAGGUGACCAUACUUUGUAUCAUAUUGUACAGAUAGGCUUUGAUUGUGGGGCUUGUUUACAAUAAAACCUUUAUUUAACCUUAAUUUUAAACA